This 430-nucleotide ribosomal RNA is filed under the name Bacteroidota bacterium. Its description in RNAcentral is "Bacteroidetes bacterium partial 16S ribosomal RNA". It matches the Rfam family "Bacterial small subunit ribosomal RNA", at positions 355 to 776 of the family's 1533-position model. Lineage: Bacteria; Pseudomonadati; Bacteroidota. The record is from RNAcentral.
UAGGGAAUCUUCGGCAAUGGGGGGAACCCUGACCGAGCAACGCCGCGUGAGUGAAGAAGGUUUUCGGAUCGUAAAGCUCUGUUGUUAAGGAAGAACGAGUGUGAGAAUGGAAAGUUCAUACUGUGACGGUACUUAACCAGAAAGGGACGGCUAACUACGUGCCAGCAGCCGCGGUAAUACGUAGGUGGCAAGCGUUGUCCGGAUUUAUUGGGCGUAAAGCGAGCGCAGGCGGUCAAUUAAGUCUGAUGUGAAAGCCCCCGGCUCAACCGGGGAGGGUCAUUGGAAACUGGUUGACUUGAGUGCAGAAGAGGAGAGUGGAAUUCCAUGUGUAGCGGUGAAAUGCGUAGAUAUAUGGAGGAACACCGGUGGCGAAAGCGGCUCUCUGGUCUGUAACUGACGCUGAGGCUCGAAAGCGUGGGGAGCGAACAGG